This 408-nucleotide ribosomal RNA is filed under the name uncultured bacterium. RNAcentral describes it as "bacterial SSU rRNA". It matches the Rfam family "Bacterial small subunit ribosomal RNA", at positions 29 to 417 of the family's 1533-position model. The record is from RNAcentral.
AGCGAACGCUGGCGGCGUGCUUAACACAUGCAAGUCGCGGGAGAAUGGAGGGCUUCGGCCUUCCUAGUAAACCGGCGCACGGGUGAGUAACACGUAGGUAACCUACCUCCGAGACCGGGAUAACCUAUCGAAAGAUUGGCUAAUACCGGAUAAGACCACGACGGCUUCGGCCCUUGCGGUCAAAGGUGGCCUCUGCUCGCAAGCUACCACUUGGGGAUGGGCCUGCGGGCCAUUAGCUUGUUGGNGAGGUAACGGCUCACCAAGGCGACGAUGGCUAGCUGGUCUGAGAGGAUGAUCAGCCACACUGGGACUGAGACACGGCCCAGACUCCUACGGGAGGCAGCAGUGGGGAAUAUUGCGCAAUGGGGAAACCCUGACGCAGCGACGCCGCGUGGGUGAUGAAGGCCU